RNAcentral lists this microRNA (23 nucleotides) under Heliconius melpomene (postman butterfly). RNAcentral's name for it is "Hme-Mir-275_5p* (star (passenger))". Lineage: Eukaryota; Metazoa; Arthropoda; Insecta; Lepidoptera; Nymphalidae. The record is from RNAcentral.
CGCGCUACUCUGGCGCCGGGGCU